UGCCAGCCGCCGCGGUAAUACGGGAGGGUGCGAGCGUUAAUCGGAAUUACUGGGCGUAAAGCGCGCGUAGGCGGUUUGUUAAGUCGGAUGUGAAAGCCCUGGGUUCAACCUGGGAACUGCAUUCGAUACUGGCUAACUAGAGUGCGAGAGAGGGAGGUAGAAUUCCAUGUGUAGCGGUGAAAUUCGUAGAUAUUUGGAGGAACACCAGUGACGAAGGCGGCUCACUGGCUCGAUACCGACGCUGAGGUACGAAAGUGUGGGGAGCAAACAGGAUUAGAUA
RNAcentral lists this ribosomal RNA (280 nucleotides) under uncultured bacterium. Its description in RNAcentral is "partial 16S ribosomal RNA". It matches the Rfam family "Bacterial small subunit ribosomal RNA", at positions 506 to 784 of the family's 1533-position model. The record is from RNAcentral.